AACCACAUCAUACUUAUUUCUCUGAACCUUUUAUGGAUAAGUUUUGACAAGUUUAGGCUUUCAAUGUCAUUUUUGUGUUAUUUGAUUCAAGUGGGUGUUAGGGACCAGAUGUGAAACUAGAAAAACCGAAGGAUUUCCAUUGACAGAGGUUGCAAGUUCUGGUCAAAGCCAAUCCGGAUUACAUAUAUCAUUUUCAUUGGCCUUUGAGACCAUUCCUAAUAAACUUGAAGCCCAGAGUUCAUAUCUAAGCAGGAUAGCAGCAAAGUUGAGGGAAAUAAAGAAAAGUUAUAACUCUACAAUUUCAGAUCAAGGCUUAAUAACACAUCGUAUAUAUAUACAAUCAGAGAUAUUUUAAGGUCUAAUUUGAAAGGAGCAUGACACUAUUGGAAACAAAUAAAUUUAAUGUGCAGGGAUAAACUCUUUAAAGAGUUUAAGCUUGCAGAGAAGGAAAGACUUUGCUGGGAAAAAAAAAACUCGUGAUUUGCCUACAUUCUUUGGCCACGGGAAACGCAGACAUUAAACUAAGCAAAAAUGAAACCUACAACCACCGAAGGGUGAGUUUCCAGUAAAGAUCAUUCACGGCAUUCAUGGCGAAAGAUCAUGAAGAUGCAAGUUUGGAGAUAGUUUUUCUUUUUUUAAAAAAAAAAAAACGAAAAACAACUAACUAUAUGCGCCUGACUUGCAAGAAUUUAUAAAAGCAGAAUGAAAAUGCAGAGAAGACCAGUUUUUAGCCACUGACAGGUUUCUCAUGAAGGAACAACUCAAGUUAGAAAUCUAAAAUAAAUACUCUCAUAUUUGAUUUUGAGAUGUUCAAGAAGGAUCCUUACGAGAGCAUAAAAAAGAUGAGCACAAGGUUUAUAAUAACAUUAGAAGAAACAUCAAACAACCUGAUAUGGUGAGAAAGAUAUUGAGGUCUUUAGCGAGACCUGGGGAUCUUAGAGUGAUGGCCAUUAAAGAUUUGAAGAUACUUAGCUUAGAGGGUUUCUUAUUUUUUAUGAGUUCAAGGUUACCAAAGGUGAUGUUGACAUCAGUAAGAAAGGCAUUGCGCUCAAACUUUACAAAAUGAUGAUAAUCAAGAUGAUGAUGAAGAUGUCGCUCAUAUUGUGAGGAAAUUCAUAAGUGUUUUCUAGAAGAGAAAUACUACUGAGAUAAUAAAGCAUGAGACUAGCAAAAUGGGCCAAUUUAUUUGCUAUGAAUGCAAGAAACCCAGGCGUGUCAAAAGACAUUGUCCAACUUUAUAUGGACAUAUAGGAAGCUUGGAGAUGUAAACAUGCAUUUGAUUUCAAAGCUUACA
Populus nigra (black poplar) is the source of this 1294-nucleotide long non-coding RNA. RefSeq lists it as uncharacterized. The transcript is spliced from 6 exons. The record is from RefSeq and is a predicted model, not a curated record. NCBI's taxonomy places the organism in Eukaryota, Viridiplantae, Streptophyta, Magnoliopsida, Malpighiales, Salicaceae.